CAGUCGCCGCGGUAAUACGGAGGGUGCGAGCGUUACCCGGAAUCACUGGGCGUAAAGGGCGCGUAGGCGGCAUGUUAAGUCUGGUUUUAAAGACAGGGGCUCAACCCCUGGAGUGGACUGGAUACUGGCACGCUUGACCUCUGGAGAGGUAACUGGAAUUUCUGGUGUAGCGGUGGAAUGCGUAGAUACCAGAAGGAACACCAAUGGCGAAGGCAAGUUACUGGACAGAAGGUGACGCUGAGGCGCGAAAGUGUGGGGAGCGAACCGGAUUAGAUACCCCCGUAGUCCCUGUCUCUUAUAC
This 301-nucleotide ribosomal RNA is filed under the name uncultured bacterium. RNAcentral describes it as "partial 16S ribosomal RNA". It matches the Rfam family "Bacterial small subunit ribosomal RNA", at positions 509 to 807 of the family's 1533-position model. The record is from RNAcentral.